AUUAAGUAGAAAUAUAUAUUAUUAUAUAUUAUAUUAUAUAUUAUAACAGUAUCUACUCGAUACUUAUAAAUGUAAUCGUUGCACAUCACUACUGGCGACGCGUGACCAAAACACGCAAUUCUGCAAAAAUACCGCGAAACCGAAACUAGGCAUAAUAAUAUAAAAAGAAAUAUUGAUCGUUAAGGCAUAACAUUCCAUGCAUGAAUUUCGCACCGGAUCACAUUCCGUAUACGUGUUUGGCACCUCGCUGUCUAUUGGUUGAAUCAUAACCGCGUGCAGCAAAGAGCCAAUGAUAAAGCCCUAGGUGCCAAAUACAUAUACGGAAUGUUAAGAUUGGCCCGGUGCACCAGGUGUGGUGCACAUUUAUUUAUCGAUGUAUACCGGGCGCGCCAAGCUCAUUUCAGUUUUACUCCCGUUUCGGUGUAUAGGGUGGAGUUAAAAGAAAUAGUUGUGGAUUUUAUUGAUUGUGUGGGGAAUAAAAUGUCUAAUCAAAAAAUUUGUUCAGUGGAUGGUUGUGAAAGUCGAAUGACAGAUCAGAUAUCGUUUUUUAGGUGCCCUAAAGAUGCAGGAAGAAGGUGUCAAGCUUGGAAAAAUGCUUUUGGAUUUAUAGGAUCCCAUAGAUUUGCGGAUAAUACUCCAACGCAAUGUUAUAACCGUAUUAAAUUUACGAUGCACAUUUUCCUAAAGCCAGUGUUGAUGCCAUUGUUCAGACAGAACCCUUCAAAGUAAAUGAGCCAAAGCAGCUAUUACUAUAAGGAACCUAAACGUCAGUAAAACUUUUAGCAGAUACGCCAAGAAAAGUUUUACUUAAGGAGACAGUAAAAACACUAGAAAAAAAAACUAUUACUACUCACACUUGCAAAAAAAGCCUUGAAACAGAAAUUACCAUAGAUGACGUUCUGAAAUUUUUGGAAUCAAAUUUUUCUGAAGAAACAUGCAAUCUGUUAAAAACUCAAAUGUUAUUGCUGAAUAAGGACUCAAAAGGACGCAGGUAUCCAAUGAAUUUAAACAGUUUGCUCUAAGUGUGUUUUUUCUAGGUAUAAAAGCUUACAAAAAAAUGUCCACAGUUUAUCAUCUACCAUCAAGAUCUACAUUAAACCGUUUUACGCAACAAUGGGUAAUAAAUUUAGGUUUUACCGAGUUUGUUUUUAAAGUAGUUGAAUGUAGAGUAAAAAUACAUCUGCACCUGUUAAUCAUUUAAAA
Anthonomus grandis grandis is the source of this 1203-nucleotide long non-coding RNA. RefSeq lists it as uncharacterized. The transcript has 4 exons. The record is from RefSeq and is a predicted model, not a curated record. Lineage: Eukaryota; Metazoa; Arthropoda; Insecta; Coleoptera; Curculionidae.